RNAcentral lists this ribosomal RNA (593 nucleotides) under Globigerinoides ruber albus. Its description in RNAcentral is "partial small subunit ribosomal RNA". It matches the Rfam family "Eukaryotic small subunit ribosomal RNA", at positions 1296 to 1605 of the family's 1831-position model. Lineage: Eukaryota; Foraminifera; Rotaliida; Globigerinidae. The record is from RNAcentral.
AGUUCGUGGAGUGAUCUGUCUGCUUAAUUGCGUUUCAAAAUUUAACUUGAGGACCGGGUUUUGGUUUGGCUAGUGGUUCUACGAUGACUGUGAACUGUCAUGUCUUCGGAUGUGCGACUAUUGGUCUAGGAUCACAUGACUUGCCCCUGGGACUCUUUUGAACGCAACGGACGUGAUUGCAACCCCUUGUUGAGAUUAGAGAUAGUCUCGAUAUUCACUGGACAAACUGGCUGCUUUAUGCAGUCUUGUUGAAUGGUGGAUAAACUCGGGGGACUGCUGACUAUAACCAUUUCUCAAAACAGAGGAAGGUUGCGGCAAUAACAGGUCUGUGAUGCCCUCAGAUGUCCCGGGCUGCACACGUGCUACAAUGAGUGGCGCAAUGUGCUAAUGUUUAAGGGAUAAGAGUGUGGUCAGUAGAACGUCGGGAUUUCCCCUGACGUCUCCCCCGCACGAUUAUCAGCCUUCCCUUAACAGGGCGGGCAACCUUUUCAAAAUACUGGUUUGAUGUUAAAGUAUUGAGUCGUUUUUUUUGGAUGGUGGUUUGUUAACCAAUACCAUCCGGCAACUGCUCGCGAGUUUGUGGUUCUGGCGAC